AGAAGGACGCCGCCCCCGGGUGGGCUCGAACCACCAACCUUUCGGUUAACAGCCGAACGCGCUAGCCGAUUGCGCCACGGAGGCGUUUCAUUUCUAGGUCGCAGUUGUCCAAGAGAAGGAGAACGGCGCGAAAGCAAGAGGUGCAAAGUACUAUCGUCUGAGAGGGACAGAAAGAGAGAAUCAAAUACUAUGAGAGUGCGAGGUUACCGAAACGAGAGUUGCAGAGUACUAUCAUCUGAGAAAAGAGUCAGUCACAACAAAAUCAAACAUAUUGUCGCUAAUCAAUGUUGCAGUCUUUAUUCUGAUAUCAGUGUGCCACGAAUGGUUCGUCGCGUAUUAGUUCA
Molecule: long non-coding RNA, 344 nt
Organism: Nylanderia fulva
Lineage: Eukaryota; Metazoa; Arthropoda; Insecta; Hymenoptera; Formicidae
Source: RefSeq, a predicted model, not a curated record